UUGUUUUGGUUAAUGAUUUAUUGAGAGCAGUACAACCCCAAUUUAUUCCUCUGUUUCGUUUUACAAACAAAUCAACAGCUCCCCUGUUCUUUGUCUUCUUUUUCAAAACCCAGCACACACGACCCCUUUCCCUUUUUUCAUUUACUGAUGCUUUUAGUCUUUCCGUUAUUUUGCUUGUAAUCGGCGUUGAGUCACAGCCGAGUACAGUGUUCGAGUUGUUGUGUUUCACUAAAUCAGUUUCGAGUUGUAAUUGUGCUUCGAUUUAGUUGAUAGGUUGAGUUUGCACAGCUGAGUCAUCUCCUCUCUUUUGCUGAGUCGUUUGCUUGUAUUUGGCGAGUUAUCGAGUCCAGUUUAUUUUCGAGUCUACUGCCCUGCUGUUCUGAGUCUGCGUUGAUUUCCGAGUUUGAAUACAGUCUGGCUGGUUUUGUUUUGAAUUUCCGAGUCGCAUUACCGAGUCAACGAGUUGUUGUUCAUUUUGUCUUCUGUAGUUCUGUUGCUGUCAUUGCUUUCCUUUUCGAGUUCGAGUGUUGCUGAGUUUGCUGGUUUUUAUGUUGAAUCUGAGUCUCCAUUGAGUCCACCAACGAGUCAUCGCCGAGUCUGGGUUAUUUGUUUCGCUGUUCAGUUUUCCGAGUCUGCUGUUUUGCUUGGUCAAUAGGGGUGAUCGUUCGACUAAUUUAAAAAACCAUGGUUUGUGGGUUGGUUUCGGUUUUAUAUUAAACCAACCCGUUAUAAAACCGAACCGCAUAUUUAUAUAUAUACAAUCUAAAUAUUUAAUAUUAUAUAUUGACAAAAUAAUAAUUUUAUAUAAAUAUAUUAAUUUUUUAAUUUAUACUUGCUGGGUUGGUGUUUAGUUACUUACCUUAUCAAUACCAACUACAAGUCAUAUCAAUUCAGUAAUCCACGACUUCGAUUCAAGUUUAUGCAGUUUAUUAGACUAAAGUUUGUAUUUUAAUUUAACUAUGUGAAAUUGUGUAAAAUGAGACAAAAUGAUACUUUAUUUUCUAGUAUUAUUCAUGAAUCUUCGUCUCUGAUUAUAAGCCUUAGUUAUAAACCGAUCAAUCCGCUUAACCGAACCAUCAAAAACCGCACCGUUUGGUUCGGGUUAAUUGGUUUGCGGGUCACGUGUUGGUUUGAGAUUUUAAAAAACCACUAAUGUAUGGUUUGGUUCCGGUUUUACCUCCAAUCCGAACCAAACCGGACUGCGAUCACCCCUAUUUUUGUUUAGGGUUUGCAGUUUUGAGAGUCGACUCCAAGUUAUAACCUCCACUUCUCCGCUCUUCAUCUUUCAUCCCCCUAUUGAUUAAUCAUCUUCGUUUCUUCCAUCUUCUCUCAUAUUUAUUAAUUUAUUCAAUAAAACCAAGAUCUAAUCCUUUUGGGUGAAUUCUUGUUGAGUACCUUGUCAUCAAGGUCGUGCCCAUUUUUUUGGGAUGUUUGUGUCUGUUUUGAUUAGGGGUGAGCACAAAAAACCGAAACCGCAAAAAAAACCUAAAAAAACCGAAAAACCACACCGAAAAAAACCAAAUCGAAAAUAAAACCGAAAAUAACCGAAACUAAUGGUGCGGUUUUAUUUUCGGUUUUAUGCUAAAACCGCACCGAAAUUAACCGAACCGAAAAAAAAUAUAUAUAUAUUAUAUAUAUGUGUAUGUAUGUAUGUAUAAAUAUAUCAAUAAUAGUAAUAAAGUACGUUAAUCAUUUUUAAACUUCACAUCUUAUUAUAUAUGGAGGUUUGUUGGUUUCAUCCACACACCCUCACUUGCUAAGUCACUUAAAUUAACCGGGCACCCAAAUAUUUGGAGGAGCGCUUAAUCGAAGACCAGGGCUAUUGCGAUUUUCCAUAAAGCAUAAAUAUAUCCGUUGUUAAUCUGCUGAUCAAAUUUUAUUAUAAAAUCUAUUCUGCUUCUUUUAUUUAUGUACUUUUUGAAGACUUUAUAUUUGAAUUUCAUGAUUAGUUGAUUUUGAAGACUUUUUAUUGAUUUGACAUCAUCUAAUUUCUUAUCGAAAUACCCAUGUUUUAAUUUUUAUUGUGUAUUAAGUUUUUUUAGAUGAAAGUAUGUAAUGUUUCCUAUAUCAUCAUAUAGAAACAAUGGUAACCGAACAUACCGUACAUGUUCAUAGAAAUUUUUUAUUUUUUUAAAAAAUCAUUAUGCACAGAAGUAGCAAAUAAUAAUGAAAAAAUCGGAAAAAAAAAACCGCAACCCACUAAUGGUUAACCGCAACCGAAAAAUCAUUUUAACUGGUGUGGUUACGGUUAAUGAUAAUUAAACGAACCGAACCGCAUUCAACGGUUCGGUAACGGUUAAUGUCCGGAACCGCACCAAACCGCACCAUGCACACCCCUAGUUUUGAUGUUUCUAUGUGUUUUGUUAUGGGUCUCGGUAACGUUUCUAAGAGGGAGUUACAUGAUAUUUUGGGUAAUCCGUAAGGCUUGUAUCAGAUAUGGCACGGUGGUGAAUAUCGUAAGAGCUCACCUUUCACGACAUAAAAUUGUUCAUCUUUUGGGGUCAUUUGUUGAUCCAAUAUCAGUUGAUGUAACUGAUAAUUCUGAACAUUGGGCUACAGAUGCUGCUGCUUAUGU
Molecule: long non-coding RNA, 2575 nt
Filed under: Daucus carota (carrot)
Lineage: Eukaryota; Viridiplantae; Streptophyta; Magnoliopsida; Apiales; Apiaceae
Description: long non-coding RNA (DCAR_LNC006714)
Source: RNAcentral